UAAGUCAGCCACGAAUAGGCUAUCCCAACUAACGGCGGGAAAGACUCCACGGAGGGUGUAAGACCCGUGUGGGCGCGUGUUAAAGCUGUGUGGGCUCGGCCUCCAUUCCCUGAGAGUCGCGUUGCUUGAGCAUGCAGCGCUAAGCAGGUCGUAAACUCGAUCUAAGGCUAAAUAUUUCCACAGAACCGAUAGCGAACAAGUACCGUGAGGGAAAGUUGAAAAGCACUCUGGAGAGAGAGUCAAAAGACCGUGAAACCGCUCAGAGUAUAAGCCCAUGGCAGCUUGGAAGGCAUAUCGCUAGCGGGGCAUCGGUCUCCCUUCGCGGGGAGCUGGUGUUACCUUGCUUCUGUUGUGGCUCGUCAUGGUAGGGGGGUCAGGUCCACAUCCCGCCGUCGUGUGGGGGGUUCUUGGGUGUGUUGUGGUUUCUCGGUUGGCUUCGGCUUGCCGGGGGGCUCUUCGUGCUCGGUUCCCUUUUAGACACGGACGUUCAGACUCAGUUGCAAGACGCGAUAACCAGCCCACCACGGCACGUUGUGAGGUCACCCACAGGCUCGACUUUCGAUCGUGAACCUUGACGCCGAGCAAGCACAAUGCGUGUCGCAGAUGUUCCUAACCAGGCAACGUUGCCAGGAUCGUGGAACGACACGCGCUCAACAGUCAGGUUCGGGCGGAGACAGAGUUCUGGUACGAUCCUCUUGCGACGAGCCGGCUUCUGGCCGACGUCCGAUGCUCAGGUCUCCCGCAUGUGCCGCGGGAGAUCGCUUUGACGGUCUGGA
This 776-nucleotide ribosomal RNA is filed under the name Gammarus cf. balcanicus GcfBAL9a. RNAcentral's name for it is "eukaryotic LSU rRNA". It matches the Rfam family "Eukaryotic large subunit ribosomal RNA", at positions 157 to 623 of the family's 3401-position model. Lineage: Eukaryota; Metazoa; Arthropoda; Malacostraca; Amphipoda; Gammaridae. The record is from RNAcentral. RNAcentral also lists the same sequence under 1 other name.